RNAcentral lists this ribosomal RNA (491 nucleotides) under uncultured bacterium. RNAcentral describes it as "partial 16S ribosomal RNA". It matches the Rfam family "Bacterial small subunit ribosomal RNA", at positions 29 to 506 of the family's 1533-position model. The record is from RNAcentral.
AGUGAACGCUGGCGGUAGGCCUAACACAUGCAAGUCGAACGGCAGCACAGUAAGAGCUUGCUCUUACGGGUGGCGAGUGGCGGACGGGUGAGGAAUACAUCGGAAUCUACUUUUUCGUGGGGGAUAACGUAGGGAAACAUACGCUAAUACCGCAUACGACCUACGGGUGAAAGCAGGGGAUCUUCGGACCUUGCGCGAUUGAAUGAGCCGAUGUCGGAUUAGCUAGUUGGCGGGGUAAAGGCCCACCAAGGCGACGAUCCGUAGCUGGUCUGAGAGGAUGAUCAGCCACACUGGAACUGAGACACGGUCCAGACUCCGACGGGAGGCAGCAGUGGGGAAUAUUGGACAAUGGGCGCAAGCCUGAUCCAGCCAUACCGCGUGGGUGAAGAAGGCCUGCGGGUUGUAAAGCCCUUUUGUUGGGAAAGAAAAGCAGCAGGUUAAUACCCCGCUGUUCGGACGGUACCCAAAGAAUAAGCACCGGCUAACUUCGU